AACAGUCGUUGAUAUCGCGUAGAACAGGUUUUAUAAUGAGUACUAGAUUACUAGAGCAGGCCCAGUUCCAUGGGGCUAAGAGACUGGUUUAUCCAAGGCAUAGAAAGUUCUGGAUCUUCACCCACAUUCUCAUAUUCUGCUGCUCUACGGGUGUAGUGUGGGAGACCGUCACCCGGUACCUCAGCAACCCUACCUACAUGGUGCAAAUGACGGCAGUCAAGACCUGGGUGACAUUCCCCACGGUCGUUGUUUGCCCUGAAAUUAAUGUUCCCCAGGAGAAAAUUCUGCAAUUUCUUGGUAGAAUAAAAUAUCCUCCAGGAGUAGACGCCACUUACGUUGAAAGCAUCAUAUGGCAGCUCGGAGCCUUCUACUCUCGGGAUGUCACCUUCGAGACUGCAGACUUGGAGAGCAUCCAGCGGAUAUUGGAGUUUAAUGAUAUGGAUGUAGAAACCGCUGGGGCCAUGCUGACCUCGACGUGCGAGGAGAUUCUCAUUAAAUGUAAGUGGCGCGGGAAAAAUAUAACCUGUUCAUCAUUAUUUCGUAUGGAGAUGACGAGUUAUGGUUUUUGCUGCGUGUUUAAUGGAAGAUCUUUAAAGAGAGAAAUGAAAAAUCCUGGUUACAAUAAAAAGCAAGCGGUUCAGAAACUGCACGUGAGCCAAGUGGGACCCAAUAGAGGAUUGAUUGUGGCCAUUUCACAAAACGACACGCGCCCUCCCAUAAAUACUGAUCUCUAUUACAAGUGGAUAAGUCUGAAGAACAACGGCUUUUACUACGUGGAGAUGCUAUCCAACGGUACCCCCGUCCCGAUCGCUAGCGAGAUCUGGGCGGGGUUCUCCACCAAGGGCAUCCAUAUCGCUGAUGAAGUGAGAUAUCUCAGCCGCGACCUGCGCCGCUGUCGGAUGACUGAUGAGCCUUUGAAGUACUUCCCUGAAUAUCAUAGGACCUAUUGUCUAAUGGAAUGCGAAAUGGCACGCAUUAUGGAGCGCUGCAACUGCACUCAGCUGCAGCAUCCCGUGUUACCAGGAGUGAGGCAGUGCGGUGCGAGAGACAUACAGUGUGUCAGAUCGUCUGUUGGUACGUGGUAUCGUCAGAGAUAUGAUGCCUUUCGGUGCGGGCGUAUGCAACUGCCCCAUGACUUGUGACCGGGAUAUACAAAUAAGCAUGCCAUCCUCAUUUCGUAUUUAUCCGAAUUUACCAACCAUUGAUUCCUUUUAUGAAGGCUUGGAUUUGACGAGAAUAAGCAUUGUCCGAGUGUACCUGCAGAACGUUAACAAGAUGAUAUUCUCUCGGCGGUCUUAUUUCACGCAUUUCAACUUAUUUG
Molecule: unclassified non-coding RNA, 1321 nt
Filed under: Zerene cesonia (dogface butterfly)
Lineage: Eukaryota; Metazoa; Arthropoda; Insecta; Lepidoptera; Pieridae
Description: sodium channel protein Nach-like, transcript variant X1
Source: RNAcentral